RNAcentral lists this ribosomal RNA (917 nucleotides) under Agathylla exarata. Its description in RNAcentral is "partial 16S large subunit ribosomal RNA". Lineage: Eukaryota; Metazoa; Mollusca; Gastropoda; Stylommatophora; Clausiliidae. The record is from RNAcentral.
UGGUGAUAUUAAUAGAAAAUUAAAAUUAAAUAUCCCGAAAAUAAAAGAUCUACUUAAAACUAUAUUUUUUAGAAAUAUUAUAUUUAGUGUUGCAUAACUAUAAUAAAAUAGUUAGGUAGUUGCGAAACGCAUACAAUUUUAUUGAUAUCUGGAUUAAAAAGAAAUAUAUUUAGUAUACAGGACAGUUUUAAAUCGAUAAGGAUUUAAAACAUGUGAAUAAUUUUUUAUAAAAUUGCUUAUCAGUUAGUAAAACUAAUCAAUAAUUAAUUUUAAAUAAUAUCAAUUUAAAAGAAAAUCACGUUAUUUUUUUUACUUAAACUUAAACUUUAAAUAAUUUAUUGAUAAUGUAUCAAUUAGUAGUUAAAUUAAAAAGUAUUAGCAAGGAACUCGACAAAAUAUUAUACAACUGUUUAACAAAAACAUAACCUAUAGUAAAUUUUAUAGGUGAAGUCCGCCCAGUGAAAAUUUUAACGGCCGCAGUACUUUGACUGUGCAAAGGUAGCAUAAUAAUUUGGCUUUUAAUUGGAGUCUGGAAUGAGAGAAAAUAUGUAUAAAAAUUGUCUCGUUAGUAUUAUAAUAAAAUUAUUUUAAGAAGUGAAAAUACUUCUAUAAUUAAUAAAAGACGAGAAGACCCUUAGAAUUUUUACUAGAAGUAAAUAAUUAUAAGCUAAAGUUUUAGUUGGGGCAACUCUAUUUCAAAAUAAAUAAAUAGUAAAAAUAAAAUAUAUACCGAUUUUAUACAAAAAGAUAAAUUACCUAAGGGAUAACAGCAUAAUUUAAAUAAUUAAGAUUGUGACCUCGAUGUUGGAUUAGGUAUUGUUAAAGCUAAACGUUUUUGCAUAUAUUGUUCUGUUCGAACUUAUUUACCUACAUGAUCUGAGUUCAGACCGGCGUAAGCCAGGUCAGUUUCUAUCUUU